This 65-nucleotide transfer RNA is filed under the name Diplodiscus mehrai. Its description in RNAcentral is "tRNA-Pro". The record is from RNAcentral. Lineage: Eukaryota; Metazoa; Platyhelminthes; Trematoda; Plagiorchiida; Diplodiscidae.
CAAGAAGGAGUUUGAGGAGAAUACGAGUUUUGGGGAUUUGGGGUCUUCGGGUUGGAGCUUUUUGA